Molecule: ribosomal RNA, 734 nt
Filed under: uncultured marine haptophyte
Lineage: Eukaryota; Haptophyta
Description: bacterial SSU rRNA
Rfam family: Bacterial small subunit ribosomal RNA
Source: RNAcentral
UAGGUUGUUUAAUAAGUCUGUUGUUAAAGACUGGGGCUUAACCCCAGGAAAGCAAUGGAAACUACUAGACUAGAGUAUGGUAGGGGUAAAGGGAAUUUCUAGUGUAGCGGUGAAAUGCGUAGAUAUUAGAAAGAACACCGGUGGCGAAAGCGCUUUACUGGACCAUUACUGACACUCAGAGGCGAAAGCUAGGGUAGCCAAAGGGAUUAGAUACCCCUGUAGUCCUAGCCGUAAACGAUGGAUACUAGAUGUUGCGCUUAUUGUGCAGUGUCGUAGCUAACGCGUUAAGUAUCCCGCCUGGGGAGUACGAUCGCAAGGUUGAAACUCAAAGGAAUUGACGGGGGCCCGCACAAGCGGUGGAGCAUGUGGUUUAAUUCGAUGCAACGCGAAGAACCUUACCAGGGCUUGACAUACUGCAAAUUUUCUUGAAAGAGAAAAGUGCCUUCGGGAAUGCAGAUACAGGUGGUGCAUGGCUGUCGUCAGCUCGUGUCGUGAGAUGUUGGGUUAAGUCCCGCAACGAGCGCAACCCCCGUUUUUAGUUGCCAUUUUAUGGGUUCUCUAGAAAGACUGCCGGUGACAAACCGGAGGAAGGUGGGGAUGACGUCAAGUCAGCAUGCCCCUUAUGCCCUGGGCUACACACGUGCUACAAUGGCUAAGACAAAGAGUCGCGAAUUCGCGAGAAUCAGCUAAUCUCAUAAACUUAGUCUAAGUUCAGAUUGUAGGCUGCAACUCGC